AGAGUUUGAUCCUGGCUCAGAUUGAACGCUGGCGGCAUGCCUUACACAUGCAAGUCGAACGGCAGCACGGGGGCAACCCUGGUGGCGAGUGGCGAACGGGUGAGUAAUACAUCGGAACGUGCCCCGUAGCGGGGGAUAACCAGUCGAAAGACUGGCUAAUACCGCAUACGCUCUACGGAGGAAAGCAGGGGAUCGCAAGACCUUGCACUAUGGGAGCGGCCGAUGCCCGAUUAGCUAGUUGGUGAGGUAAAGGCUCACCAAGGCGACGAUCGGUAGCUGGUCUGAGAGGACGACCAGCCACACUGGGACUGAGACACGGCCCAGACUCCUACGGGAGGCAGCAGUGGGGAAUUUUGGACAAUGGGCGAAAGCCUGAUCCAGCCAUGCCGCGUGCGGGAAGAAGGCCUUCGGGUUGUAAACCGCUUUUGGCAGGAACGAAACGGCGCGAGCUAAUACCCCGCGCUAAUGACGGUACCUGCAGAAUAAGCACCGGCUAACUACGUGCCAGCAGCCGCGGUAAUACGUAGGGUGCAAGCGUUAAUCGG
RNAcentral lists this ribosomal RNA (545 nucleotides) under uncultured bacterium. RNAcentral's name for it is "bacterial SSU rRNA". It matches the Rfam family "Bacterial small subunit ribosomal RNA", at positions 8 to 548 of the family's 1533-position model. The record is from RNAcentral.